Molecule: long non-coding RNA, 1037 nt
Organism: Loxodonta africana (African savanna elephant)
Lineage: Eukaryota; Metazoa; Chordata; Mammalia; Proboscidea; Elephantidae
Exons: 2
Source: RefSeq, a predicted model, not a curated record
GACAGACUUUAAUGAAGAUUAUUGCUGUGGAAACUAAUUUCGGUUCUUUUGACUGAAGCCAUUAAAACUAGGACCUUCGUUUAUUCAAAAAUGGAUAAGUGACCUUGCAAAUGCAAUUCAGCAAAUAGUUACUUAAUCUGUGCUAUAUACAGGCCUGGUACUGGGGAAGCAGGUGCCAGAGGGGCUCCUGUAUUAUUGGGGGAAAAUGUAAAUAUCACAUAUGAAACAGACAACACAAAGCAUUAUAUGCAGGGCUAGCAAGAGAGGUAUUGAGAAAAUAAUGACUAGAAGAGCUCAGUUUAUUUGCAGUAUUCCUAGUUGCAAGAUUAACAGAAAGGCGUGGCCAUUACAGUUGAUUCUCUCUUCCUUCUGAGGUUGUUUUUUUUCCUUGGCCUUUACCAACCUUUUUUUAAUCACGUUUUCCUGUCACUCCUGUGCCCAGGUCUGAAACAAAGUCCCUUUCCUCUUAGUUCAGUUGAGACGUGUUGGGAUUUUUCAGAAGAACCUUCACAGAUUUAGAACAUAUUAAUGCUCCAGGCCUCCAGGCGUAGAGGGAGAAGGGAGAUGUAAAAGGAAGGCAUGUCAGGACUUCCUGCUGAAGUGAAGGCCGUGAACCAGAUAAAGGAGGUGGUGAGCUGGUAACUUCAUCUUUGUACACAAAUUAUUAUUUUUUUUUUAAAAAAAGAUCAUGCUUUCUGUCAGACUGUUUGCAAAUCACUGACUUUAGCAGCCAUGUUUUUGGUAUGUGUUUGUCUGACUUACCUACUUUUAAAAAAAUCCUCGAGUAUGAAUGAGAGAGGGAAGAAUUUUACAUUGUUAGUAAAUUUUAAAAAAGAAAUAAAAAAAACAGCAACUGAAUGGAGUUGACAUUAGACCAUAUAAAUAGUACACUCUUAAAUUUAUAGAGUAGCAAUUGUGCCUUCUUUUUACUUGAGUUCAUUUUUUAAAAAACUCAGCAGUAACUUCUGAGUUUUAUCGGACAUCCAAAGUUAGGAACCUAUUUAUGGCAAAAGAGAAGGGGCAAAUUCCAAACCGCU